GUUUUAAUAGUUUAAUUAAAAAUAAUGAUCUUGUAAAUCAUAGAUAGAGUAUCUUUAAAACU
This 62-nucleotide transfer RNA is filed under the name Aradacanthia heissi. Its description in RNAcentral is "tRNA-Thr". Lineage: Eukaryota; Metazoa; Arthropoda; Insecta; Hemiptera; Aradidae. The record is from RNAcentral.